AUGGGGACACGGUGGGACAUGGUGGGACAUUGGAACAUUGGGACACAGUGGGAGCUGGUGGCACCCCAGAGGUGGCACCCCGGCGGUGACAGCGGUGUCCCCACAGGAGUUCAGCUGGUUCCUGUGGCGCCGGCACGGCCGUGCUGUGUCCGUGUGGGAGCGGCUGGAGUUCCUCAACGGGUGGUACCUGCUGCUGGUCACCAGUGACCUCCUGACCGUGCUGGGCACUGUCCUCGAGAUCGGCAUCGAGGCCAAGGAAGAAGCAGUAGAGAAUAACCCUCCAUUUUGAUCUGCUCAACCAUCACAACUCCAAAAGCCUCCCCAUGCUGGCCUGUCUUUGCCUGCAUUUAAAGCAUCCAGUUCCCUGGGUUGUUGCUCAGGAUUCUCAGCCAAACCUGGCAGAUCACCUUCAGGAUUUCUGUUUACUUCCUCUGCACUGAUUUUAUCCAUGAAGGAGUCUGGCUGCCUGCAGCAGCUCAUGUCUCUCCUCUUCCUCAGUGGAUUCCUUGAAGCCUGGAGAUCUCAGAUGUAACCAUCCUAAAGGCGAGGGAAGAGAGAACUCUGCUAUGAGACUGAGCAGAUGGCCUGGCCUGUCCUGGGGACACCAUCCCCAGCUUCACCCUCCAGACAAUCCCCAGCCCUGCCACGUGCCCCUUCCUGAGACACCUUCUCCAGGCCUGGCCACACGGGAGGAGCAAGGAGCACUUGCAUGUAUCAGCAGGAGGAAAAUCAAAGUGCUGUGACAAUGGAUUGUACAGAUUUAAUUCUUUUCUGGCAGAAAGUUGUCAUGAGAAUUGUGAGCAGGUGCUCAGAGAGACUGAUUUUUAGAACAAAUAUUUUGGUUAUGAGAUAAUAUGGUCCCAGGGAGAACUUUUAGUAAAAUAAGUGUAUGAAAACCUUUGUAAAUGGAAGUUCCCUGCCACACAAUAUCACAUUUAUAAUGGCCUAUUUAAGAAAUUUAAUGUCAGUGGGGUUGGUUAGAGGUUUUGUGCUUUUGUUAUUUAUUUUUGAUCAUACCUGUUUUCAGAGAGGUGUGUUCAUGUGUGUGUAACAUGAAGUUGUCAGAUCCUGUAGGAAAAUAGCAGCAAAUCUCAGUAUCUCAAGAUGCUGUCUUGAAACUUCAUCUUCUCUUAGUUGCACCAGAAAACUAAUUCCUUUCUGCACAAAAUGAACAGCAUUAAAAUCUCAAACUUCAUGUGAA
Parus major (Great Tit) is the source of this 1201-nucleotide long non-coding RNA. RefSeq lists it as uncharacterized. The record is from RefSeq and is a predicted model, not a curated record. The transcript is spliced from 5 exons. Lineage: Eukaryota; Metazoa; Chordata; Aves; Passeriformes; Paridae.